This 357-nucleotide unclassified non-coding RNA is filed under the name fungal sp. RNAcentral's name for it is "partial internal transcribed spacer region". The stretch from base 1 to 46 matches the Rfam family "Eukaryotic small subunit ribosomal RNA", at positions 1786 to 1831 of the family's 1831-position model. Lineage: Eukaryota; Fungi. The record is from RNAcentral.
AAGUCGUAACAAGGUUUCCGUAGGUGAACCUGCGGAAGGAUCAUUAACACGUAUCCAACGUUAAACAACCCCGUGAACCUUCAGCCUGCUCUCGUAGCCCACGCGGCAACAGCAAUCCCGGUAAAUCAUUGACGACCAGUUUUGAUUCGGGACCUCUGUUACGAUGUGAGAAGUUACAGUUACGAUCGAGCGGUAGAGUCAGUGGCAUGGCGUCCCCAAGCAGAAUCCACCGACCGGCAGACAUGUCACAGGGUCCCCAUGCCCCUUACCUCACCCCAUUACUAAUGACUAGCUUAGCGGUAACGCGCUGAGUAAAAAAAAACCGAACAACUGUUAACAAUGGAUAUCUUGGUUCUC